AAACAUAUCCUUUUACAAAGUUGAAAGGCUCGAUGUCGCAGGAUUGAUUAUCAGGCCGUGGAAUAUCAGGAUGCACGAUCAACUAUUUGAAUUCAAAAGGAUAGUUCAGGUUUACAAAAUGGUCAAAAUGGCUAUUCAAUUAAUUAACAUUUUAUCAGCAACACUAUAUGGACUGCAACGUUGUCCCAGUGACAGAGUAAGGUAUCUAAUCAUUCCUUUUGUUUUCAAGAUUCAAGGAAUACGGGCGGCAUCGAUUACUAUAUACCAAGUCUGGUUUAUAUAUCAUGGCUGGAUUGAGUUGUCUAUACCUUUACUCUAGACCCAGGCAAUAUAGCAGAACCACAACCACAGGCUGCAAAACCACAUAUAUAAACUUAUCAAGUUACUGGAAAUGUGAAUUCGCAGUCCAGGAAGCUUCAGUAAUCCUAUAGACCGGGAUCAUAAAUUUUUACAGUUCCAACCAUAUCAAGGGCUAUUGCAAGUGCUUACAAGAGAUGCCCUGGAUAAUCCUAUAUACGAGCAAGACCAUGCUGUGAUUGCUCAAGACCAUUCCAACAAUCUGAAGUUACU
RNAcentral lists this long non-coding RNA (570 nucleotides) under Populus trichocarpa (black cottonwood). RNAcentral's name for it is "long non-coding RNA (PTRI_LNC002138)". Lineage: Eukaryota; Viridiplantae; Streptophyta; Magnoliopsida; Malpighiales; Salicaceae. The record is from RNAcentral.